GAGACUCUUCUGAUAGCAAGACU
This 23-nucleotide small RNA is filed under the name Arabidopsis thaliana (thale cress). The record is from RNAcentral. Lineage: Eukaryota; Viridiplantae; Streptophyta; Magnoliopsida; Brassicales; Brassicaceae.